AGUGAACGCUGGCGGUAGGCCUAACACAUGCCAGUCGAACGGCAGCACAGUAAGAGCUUGCCCUUACGGGUGGCGAGUGGCGGACGGGUGAGGAAUACAUCGGAAUCUACUUUUUCGUGGGGGAUAACGUAGGGAAACUUACGCUAAUACCGCAUACGACCUACGGGUGAAAGCAGGGGAUCUUCGGACCUUGCGCGAUUGAAUGAGCCGAUGUCGGAUUAGCUAGUUGGCGGGGUAAAGGCCCACCAAGGCGACGAUCCGUAGCUGGUCUGAGAGGAUGAUCAGCCACACUAGAACUGAGACACGGUCCAGACUCCUACGGGAGGCAGCAGUGGGGAAUAUUGGACAAUGGGCGCAAGCCUGAUCCAGCCAUACCGCGUGGGUGAAGAAGGCCUUCGGGUUGUAAAGCCCUUUUGUUGGGAAAGAAAAGCAGCAGGUUAAUACCCCGCUGUUCUGACGGUGCCCAAAGAAUAAGCACCGGCUAACUUCGUG
Molecule: ribosomal RNA, 492 nt
Filed under: uncultured bacterium
Lineage: Bacteria
Description: partial 16S ribosomal RNA
Rfam family: Bacterial small subunit ribosomal RNA
Source: RNAcentral